Molecule: transfer RNA, 75 nt
Filed under: Microcaldota archaeon
Lineage: Archaea; Nanobdellati; Microcaldota
Description: tRNA-Arg
Rfam family: tRNA
About the family: Transfer RNA (tRNA) molecules are approximately 80 nucleotides in length.
Source: RNAcentral
GGGCCCAUAGCUCAGCUUGGAUAGAGCGACAGACUUCUAAUCUGUAGGUCGCGGGUUCGAAUCCCGCUGGGCCCG